GUAAACAUAGUUUACACAAAACAUUAGACUGUGAAUCUAAAAUCAGGGUCCCACAGAUCCUUGUUUACC
This 69-nucleotide transfer RNA is filed under the name Meriones meridianus (mid-day jird). RNAcentral describes it as "tRNA-His". It matches the Rfam family "tRNA". Rfam says of the family: Transfer RNA (tRNA) molecules are approximately 80 nucleotides in length. Their secondary structure includes four short double-helical elements and three loops (D, anti-codon, and T loops). The record is from RNAcentral. Lineage: Eukaryota; Metazoa; Chordata; Mammalia; Rodentia; Muridae.